Molecule: ribosomal RNA, 1259 nt
Filed under: Rhipicephalus microplus (southern cattle tick)
Lineage: Eukaryota; Metazoa; Arthropoda; Arachnida; Ixodida; Ixodidae
Description: SSU rRNA
Rfam family: Eukaryotic small subunit ribosomal RNA
Source: RNAcentral
AAUCCUUUAACGAGGAUCAAUUGGAGGGCAAGUCUGGUGCCAGCAGCCGCGGUAAUUCCAGCUCCAAUAGCGUAUACUAAAGCUGCUGCGGUUAAAAAGCUCGUAGUUGGAUCUCAGUUCCAGACGAGUAGUGCAUCUACCCGAUGCGACGGCUCGGACUGAACAUCAUGCCGGUUCUUUCUUGGUGCGGUUCUGUUGCCUCGAGAUUGCGCCCGGUGGGCUUGAAAAAAUUAAGUGGCUCAACGCAGGCGAUCGCCUGAUAAACUGCUAUGGAUGUAGAAAAGACUCGGUGUUCUUCUUGUUGUUUUUGAAAUACGAGGUGAAGGCAGGGACCGACCGGGGGGGCAUUCGUAUUGGCGGCGCUAGAGGUGGAAAUCUUGACCGUGCAAACGAACUAUAGCGAAAGCAUUUGCCAAGAAUGUUUUCAUUGAUCAAGAACGAAAGUCAGAGGUUCGAAGGCGAUCAGAUACCGCCCUAGUUCUGUCCAUAAACGAUGCCAACCAGCGAUCCGCCUGUGUUACGUGGUGACUGCGGCGGGCAGCUUCCGGGAAACCAAAGUAUUUGGGUUCCGGGGGAAGUAUGGUUGCAAAGCUGAAACUUAAAGGAAUUGACGGAAGGGCACCACCAGGAGUGGAGCCUGCGGCUUAAUUUGACUCAACACGGGAAAACUUACCCGGCCCGGACACUGGGAGGAUUGACAGAUUGAGAGCUCUUUCUUGAUUCGGUGGAUGGUGGUGCAUGGCCGUUCUUAGUUGGUGGAGCGAUUUGUCUGGUUAAUUCCGAUAACGAACGAGACUCUAGCCUAUUAAAUAGGUGCGGGGUUCCCAGCACCUUACAACCUUCUUAGAGGGACAAGCGGCUCCUAGCCGCACGAAACAGAGCAAUAACAGGUCUGUGAUGCCCUUAGAUGUCCGGGGCCGCACGCGCGCUAGACUGAAGGAAGCAGCGUGUCUUUAUCCCUGUCUGAAAAGACUGGGUAACCCGUGGAACUUCUUUCGUGAUUGGGAUAGGGGCUUGCAAUUGUUCCCCUUGAACGAGGAAUUCCCAGUAAGCGCGAGUCAUAAGCUCGCGUUGAUUACGUCCCUGCCCUUUGUACACACCGCCCGUCGCUACUACCGAUUGAAUGAUUUAGUGAGGUCUUCGGACCGAUGUCCGGCGCGGCCUUUCGGUUGCGCCGGUCUGUUGGAAAGAUGACCAAACUUGAUCAUUUAGAGGAAGUAAAAGUCGUAACAAGGUUUCCGUAGGUGAACCUGCGGAAG